AGAGUUUGAUCAUGGCUCAGAUUGAACGCUGGCGGAAUGCUUUACACAUGCAAGUCGAACGGCAGCACGGGGCAACCUGGUGGCGAGUGGCGAACGGGUGAGUAAUAUAUCGGAACGUGCCCAAUCGUGGGGGAUAACGUAGCGAAAGUUACGCUAAUACCGCAUACGAUCUACGGAUGAAAGCGGGGGAUCGCAAGACCUCGCGCGAAUGGAGCGGCCGAUAUCAGAUUAGGUAGUUGGUGGGGUAAAGGCUCACCAAGCCAACGAUCUGUAGCUGGUCUGAGAGGACGACCAGCCACACUGGAACUGAGACACGGUCCAGACUCCUACGGGAGGCAGCAGUGGGGAAUUUUGGACAAUGGGCGCAAGCCUGAUCCAGCCAUUCCGCGUGCAGGAUGAAGGCCUUCGGGUUGUAAACUGCUUUUGUACGGAACGAAACGGUCUGCCCUAAUACGGUGGGCUAAUGACGGUACCGUAAGAAUAAGCACCGGCUAACUACGUG
RNAcentral lists this ribosomal RNA (502 nucleotides) under uncultured bacterium. RNAcentral's name for it is "bacterial SSU rRNA". It matches the Rfam family "Bacterial small subunit ribosomal RNA", at positions 8 to 507 of the family's 1533-position model. The record is from RNAcentral.